AUCAUCAGACCAUUCUGAAGAGGAGGAGUUGGCACAGUUACUUCUCCUCUCUGAGCCUCGAUCUCCCUGCCGGCAAAAUGGGGAUCCUUGUCCCAGCUCCACUCACUCUAUAGGGUUCGUUUGAGGCUCAUGGUAAAUAGGCUUAGAAAUGGGCCCUCGGGCAUGUCCAGCCUGGAGUAGAGUCAAGGGUGUCCAGGGGGCCAGGCGGAGGUUCAGCCAUGGAAUGAAAAGAUCUAAAGAAGUCUGGCCAGAGGGACACUGAGAUGAGCAAUGUGGUUGGAGGAGAGGAUACUGACCCAAGAAUUCUCUGGAUAAGAAGAAGGAGGAGGGGAAGCCUGAAGUGGAUGGGUCGAGCCUCAGCUGUGGAAGAAUUGCUAAUUACAGCCACCAUAAGGAAAUAUCAAUGAUGGACGUCAAUAUUAUUGCCUCCUGCAUCCCUGCCUGUUUAUUUGGAGAUGAAAAGCGCCCUAGGGUCAUCUCUCCAGGACGAAGAUGAGUGAUGACAGAAGGGAGGAGAGCUACACAUGGAGAAAAGGGCAUCCUCCAGCUGGAUUCAUUCAUGAAACCAGGACCCAUUUCCUCUGGGCAGAGUUCUCUCCACUGAGGGCCCAGGGCUGGGGCUGAGGGCAAAGGAACCUGCACAGGGAGGAGGAACUAGUGAUCCUGCUCCCAGCCCUGGUUCACCAAGUGACUGCAUGUAUGCCUCUUUGUGCCUCAGUUAACUCAUCUGAUAAAUGGGUAUGACAAUUCC
RNAcentral lists this long non-coding RNA (751 nucleotides) under Homo sapiens (human). Its description in RNAcentral is "HSALNT0382427". Lineage: Eukaryota; Metazoa; Chordata; Mammalia; Primates; Hominidae. The record is from RNAcentral.